Molecule: ribosomal RNA, 253 nt
Filed under: uncultured bacterium
Lineage: Bacteria
Description: partial 16S ribosomal RNA
Rfam family: Bacterial small subunit ribosomal RNA
Source: RNAcentral
UACGGAGGGUGCAAGCGUUGUCCGGAAUCACUGGGCGUAAAGGGCGCGUAGGCGGCUCAUGAAGGCUGUGGUGAAAGUCCGGGGCUCAACCUCGGAUCGGCCGUGGCGACUCGUGGGCUGGAGCACUGUAGAGGCGGGUGGAAUUCCGGGUGUAGCGGUGGAAUGCGUAGAGAUCCGGAAGAACACCAGUGGCGAAGGCGGCUCACUGGGUAUCUUCUGACGCUGAGGUACGAAAGCUAGGGGAGCGAACGGG